Non-coding RNA from Triticum urartu, 1615 nucleotides. The record is from RefSeq and is a predicted model, not a curated record. NCBI's taxonomy places the organism in Eukaryota, Viridiplantae, Streptophyta, Magnoliopsida, Poales, Poaceae.
AACCUCUCCCACUCCCAGCUUCACAAACUCCAGAUAGAAAACGCUGCCGAACGGAUUAGCUCCACGAAGCUGAAAUCCUGAAGCUGUCUUGGGCCGUAGUUCAUUUUUGUGGAGCGACGAAAACCGAGCUUCACUAAUUCGUGGAAGCUGGAGUUCCGCCUAUUUACAACCUUUGCCACCACCAAGGAAAACGAUUGGCGCUGACCCCACGUCUCGCUAAUAGAACAAGCCAGCAGCCCUCUCUCUCGAACAGUUUUGCCUCUGCUCCUUCCUCGUUCACGCCCACCACUAUCCCACUUGAACCCUCACCGCCGCUGCCAGUCGCGCCGCCACGCCCGCUACCCCCGGUCGUCGGCCGGAUCCCCUCCUCCGCCUACAGAUCCGGAGAUCCCGGCCUCGUUGCCGUAGGAUCCCGUGCUUAGCGGCGCUCGUCCCGCCACCAGCUUGGAGCAGCGACCACAUGGAAAUGGCGACCUCGCCCGGACGCCGUUGAUGCCCGAGACAACCGCCGGAGCCAGGAGCAGCAGUCCGAAGGCUGAGAGCCCUCGCCCAAACCACAAGAGAAGUGUCAAGCAUGACUGCUGAAUGGAGCGUUGAGAACACUAAGAUUGUAUGUGAGUUGUUCGCCGACCAAGUGGACACUGAAAAUAGGCCAGGCAAUUAUUUGACCCCAAAUGCAUUUGAUGAGGUGACAAGACAAUUUAAGAUGAGAACCGGGCUUGACUACACACACACGCAAUUGAAAAACAAAUGGGACAAGCUUAAAGCUGAUUUCACCUUGUUCAAGAAACUCAAGUUUCGGGAGACCGGAGCCGGAUGGGACUAUGUGAACAACACCGUGUCACAAGAUGAUGAGUGGUGGAAGAAGGCUAAAAUUGAUAUUAAAGGUUGUGGCAAGUUUAAGAAGAAAGGACUUGCUAAUGAAGAAAAGUUGCGGGUUAUUUUUGGAGAUAUCACAACCGAUGGUAGUGACCAUUGGGAAAUCCCUCUUCUGGCAUACCUCCCCCCUCUAGUGCGGUAGUGAAAGAAUCCAUCAAUGUUGAUGAGAUCGAGGAUCUUGAUUUGGAUGAUACGGAAGAACAAGCAUCUCAGGCAACACCUACUUCAUCUAAAGUGAGGCUUGGAAUCAUCAUUCCAGAGAAGAACAAGAAACCCAAGACUGCCCAAGUGAUGUGUGAGCAAGUUACAAGGAUUGGUGACAUUGCCGAGGCUUCUCACUCAUCAUUUCAGUCUUUCCUAAAGCAAGAUGAGGCGAAUUGUGUCACCUCGGUCAUGGAUGAAGUCAUUGCUUGUGGUGCAGCAGUUGAUACUGAUGAGUUCUUCAUGGCUAGCGAAUUGUUUGUGAAGAGGGCGCAAAGGAAGAUGUUUCUUUACAUGCCUCUUUCCUCUCGGAAGGGUUGGUUGCGUAGGAAGUAUGAGUUGAAGUAUGGGAAGUAUUUACUUCAGAUUCCAUCUAUGUGUGAUGGUUGAUUAUCCUUUGCUAUCAAAACUAUUUGUGUCUUUUAUGUUGAACCAUCUUUUAUGUCUAUGUUAUUGAGCCUAAUGUUUGCUACUUAUGGGAACUACUUGAUACCAUUCCAUAUAUUUAUGUAGGCAUUGUGGAACCAUCUUUUGU